This 253-nucleotide ribosomal RNA is filed under the name uncultured bacterium. RNAcentral describes it as "partial 16S ribosomal RNA". It matches the Rfam family "Bacterial small subunit ribosomal RNA", at positions 524 to 776 of the family's 1533-position model. The record is from RNAcentral.
UACGAAGGGUGCAAGCGUUGUUCGGAAUCACUGGGCGUAAAGAAUGCGUAGGCGGCUUAACAAGUCGGGAGUGAAAGCCCAGGGCUCAACCCUGGAACUGCUCUCGAAACUGUUUUGCUAGAGUCCCGGAGGGGUUAGCGGAAUUCCGAGUGUAGAGGUGAAAUUCGCAGAUAUUCGGAGGAACACCAGUGGCGAAGGCGGCUAACUGGACGGGAACUGACGCUGAGGCAUGAAAGUGUGGGGAUCAAACAGG